Molecule: microRNA, 22 nt
Filed under: Aquilegia coerulea
Lineage: Eukaryota; Viridiplantae; Streptophyta; Magnoliopsida; Ranunculales; Ranunculaceae
Description: aqc-miR482b
Gene: aqc-miR482a
Source: miRBase by way of RNAcentral
UCUUGCCGACUCCUCCCAUACC